RNAcentral lists this unclassified non-coding RNA (274 nucleotides) under uncultured fungus. Its description in RNAcentral is "sequence contains ITS1". Lineage: Eukaryota; Fungi. The record is from RNAcentral.
UUGCUUAUUUCAUGUUUGCUCAGUCACCACGGUUAAACAGAGAGUUUGAACAAGGCUACUGGCGGGCGCACAUCAGGGGUCAAGGGUCCCCAACAGCCCGGCGAAGGGCCAGCCCGCCAAAGCAACAGGGUAAUAUAGACAGAGGGUUGGAGGUCGGGCCCGAAGACCCUAACUCGAUAAUGAUCCUUCCGCAGGUUCACCUAGAAAGAUGUUAGUACAUAUUUGAUGCAUGGUAAGGGAAGUAAUAAAAUUCGACCUGACGUACCUACGGAAA